This 464-nucleotide ribosomal RNA is filed under the name uncultured bacterium. RNAcentral's name for it is "bacterial SSU rRNA". It matches the Rfam family "Bacterial small subunit ribosomal RNA", at positions 992 to 1456 of the family's 1533-position model. The record is from RNAcentral.
CAGACGGUUCAGAGAUGGAUUCUUUCCCGCAGGGACGUGGACACAGGUGCUGCAUGGCUGCUCGUCAGCUCGUGUCGUGAGAUGUUGGGUUAAGUCCCGCAACGAGCGCAACCCUCGCCCUUAGUUGCCAUCAUUUAGUUGGGCACUCUAAGGGGACUGCCGGUGAUAAGCCGCGAGGAAGGUGGGGAUGACGUCAAGUCCUCAUGGCCCUUACGGGCUGGGCUACACACGUGCUACAAUGGCGGUGACAAUGGGACGCAAUGGAGCAAUCCUGCGCAAAUCUCAAAAAGCCGUCUCAGUUCGGAUUGUGCUCUGCAACUCGAGCACAUGAAGUUGGAAUCGCUAGUAAUCGCAGAUCAGCACGCUGCGGUGAAUACGUUCCCGGGCCUUGUACACACCGCCCGUCACACCAUGGGAGUUGGUUUUACCUGAAGACGGUGCGCUAACCGCAAGGAGGCAGCCGG